This 818-nucleotide ribosomal RNA is filed under the name Bacillus velezensis. RNAcentral describes it as "bacterial SSU rRNA". It matches the Rfam family "Bacterial small subunit ribosomal RNA", at positions 64 to 862 of the family's 1533-position model. The record is from RNAcentral. Lineage: Bacteria; Bacillati; Bacillota; Bacilli; Caryophanales; Bacillaceae.
GAGCGGACAGAUGGGAGCUUGCUCCCUGAUGUUAGCGGCGGACGGGUGAGUAACACGUGGGUAACCUGCCUGUAAGACUGGGAUAACUCCGGGAAACCGGGGCUAAUACCGGAUGGUUGUUUGAACCGCAGGGUUCAAACAUAAAAGGUGGCUUCGGCUACCACUUACAGAUGGACCCGCGGCGCAUUAGCUAGUUGGUGAGGUAACGGCUCACCAAGGCAACGAUGCGUAGCCGACCUGAGAGGGUGAUCGGCCACACUGGGACUGAGACACGGCCCAGACUCCUACGGGAGGCAGCAGUAGGGAAUCUUCCGCAAUGGACGAAAGUCUGACGGAGCAACGCCGCGUGAGUGAUGAAGGUUUUCGGAUCGUAAAGCUCUGUUGUUAGGGAAGAACAAGUGCCGUUCAAAUAGGGCGGCACCUUGACGGUACCUAACCAGAAAGCCACGGCUAACUACGUGCCAGCAGCCGCGGUAAUACGUAGGUGGCAAGCGUUGUCCGGAAUUAUUGGGCGUAAAGGGCUCGCAGGCGGUUUCUUAAGUCUGAUGUGAAAGCCCCCGGCUCAACCGGGGAGGGUCAUUGGAAACUGGGGAACUUGAGUGCAGAAGAGGAGAGUGGAAUUCCACGUGUAGCGGUGAAAUGCGUAGAGAUGUGGAGGAACACCAGUGGCGAAGGCGACUCUCUGGUCUGUAACUGACGCUGAGGAGCGAAAAGCGUGGGGAGCGAACAGGAUUAGAUACCCUGGUAUCCACGCCGUAAACGAUGAGUGCUAAGUGUUAGGGGGGUUUCCGCCCCUUAUUGCUGCAGCUAACGCAUUU